This is a long non-coding RNA of Anguilla anguilla (European eel), 1242 nucleotides long. RefSeq lists it as uncharacterized. Lineage: Eukaryota; Metazoa; Chordata; Actinopteri; Anguilliformes; Anguillidae. The record is from RefSeq and is a predicted model, not a curated record. The transcript is spliced from 2 exons.
AAAUAACGCGCAGGCCAGCCCGACAAUAGGCAGCUUAUUUUUUUGUGAAUUAUAGACAAAUGAUAUUCGAAUAUAUUCGAACGCUAACUAAUUACAAAAGCUAAUAUUCGAACUCAUUUUCAUGGCACUUUUGACAGCCUUACUAAUGUAGCCGCUAGAGGUGGGCAGGUAAUUAGAUGACACGGUAACGUCAUACGCGAAUAUAUGCAUAUAAGCAUGUUCUAAACAGGCAGACAGCGAGCCGUCAAUCUUGGGGUCCUCACAAUCUUACACCUGUUAAGAGUUGUGAGUGGAAGGUUUGUGUGCGGCGUUGAUAAAUGGUUUGUGCCGGUCCCGUGUUAGUACCAUUUUUACAGUCUCUGGUUAGGACUGCAGGUUGUUUUGCCUAUCCGGAAGUGCAUGUACUGUAUGUAAGCUGGAGAAGCCACGGUUGGAGAUGACGUGGCCAGGAUUGACUGACCUUACCGCAUACAGCUAUUGAGAGCCAUCCGGUAAUGUAGAUUGUUUUAUUCAUGCUUUUAUAUUGGUGGCUUCUUGGUUUGGGUGUGCAUGCUUUCUCUGCAUGUAGCUUGAGCAGUGCCUUUUGUUUUGCUUAUAGGUUUAUUUUGAGUAGGUGGCCGAUGCAUGGAUUGACCGCUGUUCCUUCCUUUCGUUUUAUGUACAUGUUGCAAAUUGGCUGCCCAGCUACCGCGAGUGAGCGUGCUUCCGCUCAUAGUAUCUGGCCUUGUGUUGAUUAGCCAAUGCGCGGAGCUGGUCGGCUAGCUUGAGCAUUUAUUUUUGUUUAAUUGUUUUUUGUUUUCAUGUUAGCCAAUCUCUCCCGCUCUAACUCAAUCAGCUAACCCAGUCCUGCUUUAACUAUUCUUUGUGCUUUGCCUGCCAUUAAUUCGAGGCGCUUGCUUGCUGUUGGGUUUGCUUUACGCCCCUUCUAGAUUGCUGUGCUUGACUAAAGAGCGUUUGGCUUUGCUUUAACUAUUUGUGUGUUCUUCUACUUUGCUCUGUGGAGUUUGCAGUGUGAUUACAAUUGCAGUGUACCUUAAUGGGGUGUGUCAUUCACAGGUGUAUAUAUUCUCUUCUCUAAGGUCACAGCAAACACAAGUAAGGUGCAAGCCAGCUGGGUAGUCUGUUUUGCAGUAAGGGGUGGAAAUGUUAAAUGUUGUGUGUGUUAUUUCUCAUUAAACCAUUUUAUGAAUUGGAGAAAAUAAAGGAAGCUAGCAUUUUGCUAUCUUCCCUACCAUAGUUUUU